Molecule: ribosomal RNA, 253 nt
Filed under: uncultured bacterium
Lineage: Bacteria
Description: partial 16S ribosomal RNA
Rfam family: Bacterial small subunit ribosomal RNA
Source: RNAcentral
UACGUAGGGAGCAAGCGUUGUCCGGAAUCAUUGGGCGUAAAGCGCGCGUAGGCGGCCCCGUAAGUCCGCUGUGAAAGUCAAAGGCUCAACCUUUGAAAGCCGGUGGAUACUGUGGGGCUAGAGUCCGGAAGAGGCGAGUGGAAUUCCUGGUGUAGCGGUGGAAUGCGCAGAUAUCAGGAGGAACACCGGUGGCGAAGGCGGCUCUCUGGGCCUUACCUGACGCUGAGGAGCGAAAGCUGGGGGAGCGAACAGG